RNAcentral lists this ribosomal RNA (1444 nucleotides) under Lacticaseibacillus rhamnosus. RNAcentral describes it as "bacterial SSU rRNA". It matches the Rfam family "Bacterial small subunit ribosomal RNA". Lineage: Bacteria; Bacillati; Bacillota; Bacilli; Lactobacillales; Lactobacillaceae. The record is from RNAcentral.
AUACAUGCAAGUCGAACGAGUUCUGAUUAUUGAAAGGUGCUUGCAUCUUGAUUUAAUUUUGAACGAGUGGCGGACGGGUGAGUAACACGUGGGUAACCUGCCCUUAAGUGGGGGAUAACAUUUGGAAACAGAUGCUAAUACCGCAUAAAUCCAAGAACCGCAUGGUUCUUGGCUGAAAGAUGGCGUAAGCUAUCGCUUUUGGAUGGACCCGCGGCGUAUUAGCUAGUUGGUGAGGUAACGGCUCACCAAGGCAAUGAUACGUAGCCGAACUGAGAGGUUGAUCGGCCACAUUGGGACUGAGACACGGCCCAAACUCCUACGGGAGGCAGCAGUAGGGAAUCUUCCACAAUGGACGCAAGUCUGAUGGAGCAACGCCGCGUGAGUGAAGAAGGCUUUCGGGUCGUAAAACUCUGUUGUUGGAGAAGAAUGGUCGGCAGAGUAACUGUUGUCGGCGUGACGGUAUCCAACCAGAAAGCCACGGCUAACUACGUGCCAGCAGCCGCGGUAAUACGUAGGUGGCAAGCGUUAUCCGGAUUUAUUGGGCGUAAAGCGAGCGCAGGCGGUUUUUUAAGUCUGAUGUGAAAGCCCUCGGCUUAACCGAGGAAGUGCAUCGGAAACUGGGAAACUUGAGUGCAGAAGAGGACAGUGGAACUCCAUGUGUAGCGGUGAAAUGCGUAGAUAUAUGGAAGAACACCAGUGGCGAAGGCGGCUGUCUGGUCUGUAACUGACGCUGAGGCUCGAAAGCAUGGGUAGCGAACAGGAUUAGAUACCCUGGUAGUCCAUGCCGUAAACGAUGAAUGCUAGGUGUUGGAGGGUUUCCGCCCUUCAGUGCCGCAGCUAACGCAUUAAGCAUUCCGCCUGGGGAGUACGACCGCAAGGUUGAAACUCAAAGGAAUUGACGGGGGCCCGCACAAGCGGUGGAGCAUGUGGUUUAAUUCGAAGCAACGCGAAGAACCUUACCAGGUCUUGACAUCUUUUGAUCACCUGAGAGAUCAGGUUUCCCCUUCGGGGGCAAAAUGACAGGUGGUGCAUGGUUGUCGUCAGCUCGUGUCGUGAGAUGUUGGGUUAAGUCCCGCAACGAGCGCAACCCUUAUGACUAGUUGCCAGCAUUUAGUUGGGCACUCUAGUAAGACUGCCGGUGACAAACCGGAGGAAGGUGGGGAUGACGUCAAAUCAUCAUGCCCCUUAUGACCUGGGCUACACACGUGCUACAAUGGAUGGUACAACGAGUUGCGAGACCGCGAGGUCAAGCUAAUCUCUUAAAGCCAUUCUCAGUUCGGACUGUAGGCUGCAACUCGCCUACACGAAGUCGGAAUCGCUAGUAAUCGCGGAUCAGCACGCCGCGGUGAAUACGUUCCCGGGCCUUGUACACACCGCCCGUCACACCAUGAGAGUUUGUAACACCCGAAGCCGGUGGCGUAACCCUUUUAGGGAGCGAGCCGUC